RNAcentral lists this ribosomal RNA (497 nucleotides) under uncultured bacterium. Its description in RNAcentral is "partial 16S ribosomal RNA". It matches the Rfam family "Bacterial small subunit ribosomal RNA", at positions 28 to 507 of the family's 1533-position model. The record is from RNAcentral.
GAUGAACGCUGGCGGCGUGCCUAAUACAUGCCAGUCGAGCGAACAGACGAGGAGCUUGCUCCUCUGACGUUAGCGGCGGACGGGUGAGUAACACGUGGAUAACCUACCUAUAAGACUGGGAUAACUUCGGGAAACCGGAGCUAAUACCGGAUAAUAUAUUGAACCGCAUGGUUCAAUAGUUAAAGACGGUUUUGCUGUCACUUAUAGAUGGAUCCGCGCCGCAUUAGCUAGUUGGUAAGGUAACGGCUUACCAAGGCGACGAUGCGUAGCCGACCUGAGAGGGUGAUCGGCCACACUGGAACUGAGACACGGUCCAGACUCCUACGGGAGGCAGCAGUAGGGAAUCUUCCGCAAUGGGCGAAAGCCUGACGGAGCAACGCCGCGUGAGUGAUGAAGGUCUUCGGAUCGUAAAACUCUGUUAUUAGGGAAGAACAAAUGUGUAAGUAACUAUGCACGUCUUGACGGUACCUAAUCAGAAAGCCACGGCUAACUACGUG